ACGGCUCAGUAACACGUAGUCAAUCUACCCUAUGGACGGGAAUAACCUCGGGAAACUGAGAAUAAUGCCCGAUAGAACAUUAUGCCUGGAAUGGUCUAUGUUUCAAAUGAUUUAUCGCCAUAGGAUGGGACUGCGGCCUAUCAGUUUGUUGGUGAGGUAAUGGCCCACCAAGACUAUUACAGGUACGGGCUCUGAGAGGAGUAGCCCGGAGAUGGGUACUGAGACACGGACCCAGGCCCUAUGGGGCGCAGCAGGCGAGAAAACUUUGCAAUGUGCGAAAGCACGACAAGGUUAAUCCGAGUGGUUUCUGCUAAAGAAACCUUUUGUCAGUCCUAGAAACACUAACGAAUAAGGGGUGGGCAAGUUCUGGUGUCAGCCGCCGCGGUAAAACCAGCACCUCAAGUGGUCAGGAUGAUUAUUGGGCCUAAAGCAUCCGUAGCCCGUUUUGUAAGUUUUCGGUUAAAUCCAUGCGCUUAACGUAUGGGCUGCCGGGAAUACUGCAUAACUAGGAAGUGGGAGAGGUAGACGGUACUCGGUAGGAAGGGGUAAAAUCCUUUGAUCUAUUGAUGACCACCUGUGGCGAAGGCGGUCUACCAGAACACGUUCGACGGUGAGGGAUGAAAGCUGGGGGAGCAAACCGGAUUAGAUACCCGGGUAGUCCCAGCUGUAAACUAUGCAAACUCAGUGAUGCAUUGGCUUAUGGCCAAUGCAGUGCUGCAGGGAAGCCGUUAAGUUUGCCGCCUGGGAAGUACGUACGCAAGUAUGAAACUUAAAGGAAUUGGCGGGGGAGCAC
RNAcentral lists this ribosomal RNA (793 nucleotides) under uncultured archaeon. RNAcentral describes it as "bacterial SSU rRNA". It matches the Rfam family "Archaeal small subunit ribosomal RNA", at positions 85 to 879 of the family's 1478-position model. The record is from RNAcentral.